Molecule: long non-coding RNA, 1521 nt
Organism: Rhododendron vialii
Lineage: Eukaryota; Viridiplantae; Streptophyta; Magnoliopsida; Ericales; Ericaceae
Exons: 4
Source: RefSeq, a predicted model, not a curated record
UUGAGCAGGAAUAUGAAGCAACAUCGAGGUUUCUCAUUAAUCUAUAAUGUGCCACAUCCUGACUUAGUUUUGAUGGGAUGCUAAGGAGGUAUUUGGGGGUCCUACAGAGCAAAUCUUUCCGUUGAGCUUCUGCUCGCUUAGGUUCAUACCUCCGUCCAGUGCUCAAAUUGACGGCUUGUGCUCCUCCUGAGAAGGUUUGGCUCCGUUCUCGGUGGCUUUUUCCCGAUUUAUGGUCUUCGUUGCGGUUUGCAUGUUGUUUGGUUUCGCUAUUGUGGUUGCAAAUUUUUUUUUGGGUUUGUUGGUUGUCGAUCGGACGCAUUUGGUGCAAGUUUUGCGGGGGUCGUAUCUGAAUUUGGAUUUUCAAAUUGCAUCUUAGCAGUUAGCAUGCACAAUUUUCAGAUAUCCAAGAAAUCUUUUUCUGAUUAUUACAGUCGUUCCAGAGAGGGUGUGCGAGCAUGGUUUAGUUCUCUAAGAUUGUCUUUGUGCAGUGCCAGUGGUUUUUUGUGUUUAUUUUCUUCUCAAGAGUAACUUUUUGGGCCUCUUUUUGUGUUUGAGGAGUGUCAUGGUAUGCGAUCUACCUGUUAUUGGUUACAAGUUACGACGCUGUGGCUGGAGCGGUUUUAUUUGUUGUCACUUGCCGAUUGGGGUUUUCGUGCCAUCCCUAUGUGUUUAUUCAUGCAUGAUUACUUUUGUUUGGCCUACUUGUGUCUAUUGUGUUCUUAUAAUCUGUAUUUAUGCUUGUGGUCGAGGAUGAUGAGGACGACGACAACAGCCAUGACGAUGAUAAUGAUGACGACGACGACAAUGAAGAAAGGGUUCGUGAAGGAUUUUGAAGUUUUUAGUACCGAUUAAUACCUGAUUGCUGCAGCAUCAGAGAAUAUUAAUCAGUACGUGUUCUUCUCCAUCGCUGAUUGGAUGCUAAAAACUUGAUUGCUUGGAUCAGCAUAAGUACAAUAAGUUUUCUUAUAUUCUUGCUCUCUAAUCCUUUUCUCCAUCCAUAUUUUUGUUAGGGCUUUCUAUGUUUCUAAUAACAAUGAAGUUUGCGUAAAAAUGCCGCUGGGUAUGGAGACAGCAAAGAAGAAGAAUUCUGCUAAACCGUUUGUAAGGUCUUCUUUUAUUUUGAGAACUGAAAGUGAGUUUUUCUUACUUCUUGUUUUAAUGGGAUGUAACAAGAUUUGCAAGUUGAGCGAGUCAAUUAUUGCCAGCACUCUUGUGGCUUAGUCUGAGUAGCUACCUCAACAAAGUUUAGCGAUUGUCAUGAGGCAUGAAUUCAAUCAGCAAGAUAGUCUUCCCAAGUUUGGAAAGCAUGAAGCAACAAGUUAGGAUUAAGGUGUCCAUCAAAAUCAAAAUAACAGUACGAAAAUCAUAAAGAUAUUUAUGCUUCUUCAUUUCAUAUUGGAGUGAUCUACUUCUACUUAGGUACGAAUAUAUUAGUUUUUUCUUUCUAUCCAAAUUUUCUGUAGUUUACACCCUGUAUCAGUCUUUCAUUCAAUGAAUUGAGCUAUUGCAAUGGGAUAAGAA